Molecule: ribosomal RNA, 627 nt
Filed under: Triticum aestivum (bread wheat)
Lineage: Eukaryota; Viridiplantae; Streptophyta; Magnoliopsida; Poales; Poaceae
Description: partial small subunit ribosomal RNA
Rfam family: Small nucleolar RNA Z247 (bases 481-619)
Source: RNAcentral
AUGUCGUCCUCCUCAAGCUCCGCUCAGAUCGCCUCCAUGGGGCAGGUCGCCGAGAAGCUUACCCGCACCAACUAUGUUCUGUGGCGUGCCCAGGUGACGCCGCAGCUGAGAGGUGCUGGUUACUUCGGCUACGUCGAUGGGACGAUGCCGCAGCCCGCCCAGUUCAUCAUCACGAAGGACAAGGACGGGAAGGAGGAGAAAACACCCAACCCUCUCUAUCCGAUCUGGUUCAGAGAAGGGCAGCAGGUACUUGGAUACUUGCUCAAUAACCUCACCAAGGAAGUCCUCGUGCAGGUCACAUCUAUAGCCACGCCGCACGAGCUCUGGGAAGCCCUUGCCCACAUGUUCUCGUCGCAGUCCAGGGCGCGCGUCAACAACAUCAGAGUCGCGCUCUCCACGGCGCAGAAGGGGACGCAGUCGGUAGCCGCCUACUUCUCCCACAUGAGGUCCCUGGCGGAUGAGCUCGCAGCUGCCGGCAAGCCCAUCGAUGAUGAUGAGCUGAUCUCCUACAUCACCUCCGGCCUCGACAUGGAGUACCAACCUCUCUUCUCCGCCAACGACGCCCGCACCGAGCCCAUCAGCAUCGACGAUCUCUACGCCCAGAUGAGUAACUUCGAUCAGCGUCUC